UUUUUACAUUUGCUCUGGGUUGUGUUUGUGCUUCAGUGGAGUUUUUUCUUGGCCCCUCAUUAGGGUCUAAACUAUUACAGACACUGUAGUGCUACAUCUCCCAAAUAGACUCCCAAGUGCACCAGAACUUCUAUGUUGCAUGCGAGGCUGCUGUGAGCUGAAUGGUAAAUAUGGAGCUGUAUGCUAGCUAUGUACAUCAGUCCAUGUUCUGCUACUUUGAUCGUGCUGAUAUGGCUCUGAGACAUGUAACCCAGUUCGUCAAGAAGUCCUAUGAGCUGAAGGAGCAUGCAGAGAGGCUUCUGUCAUACCCAAACAAGCGGGGGGUACAUUGUCCUGCAGGACAUUAAGCUCUGACUUCCUGGAGUCUGAGUAUCUGGAGGAGCAGGUGAAGGCCAUCAAGCAACUAGGAGACCACCUCACCAACCUGAAGCACCUGGGAGUGCCCCAGAACAGCAUGGGAGAGUACCUGUUUGACAAGCACACCCUGGGGGAGAGCAGCUGAACUCUUCACUACUGUCUUUCAUUCUGCUACUUUGACUGUGAUGAUGUGGCCUUAGGCACAUGGCCGAGCUCCUGAAGGAACAGUUGUGUGAAGAGAGGGAGCAUGCAGAGAUGUUCCUGAAAUACCAGAACAAAGGAGGAGGAGGGUGCAUUGUUCUGCAGGACAUCAAGACUAAAGAAAAGAAUUAUUACUACCACCAAGAGGCACAGCGAGAGCUGCCAUCGGGGCGAGCCAAGGUCAUGGAUUCCACCACUUUCAUGCAGAUGCAGUACACCUCGUCUAGACAGAAGAGGAAGCAGCACGUUCGGCAAUUUUGUGUCUGGAAAGCAGUUCUCCCCAUGGGCAGACUCCUCCUACCUGCCCUGCUCCCUUCGGCUUGCUCUUCCUGGACAGAUUUCACUCCCCUACUUCCUCCUGGAUGGACUCUUGUUUCCCCUCCCUCACCUGAAUCCUUGAAUUUCCAUCCACGUGAGGCCACUCAUCUCAACUGAAACCAGAAGACAACUGGCCAGCAGCAGUGAGCUAUUUAUUACACCCUUCCCUUCUGUUCUGCCUCCAUAAUACAACUAGGUUCUCUCCAAUCGCAGAUCCUGGAUCCCAAGAAGCCAAGAUCCGGUCCUGCAUUUACACUCACAGCUUUCAUUGUCACUUUCCCCAUCUGUAAAGGAAUAGUGAUAUUAACCCCUUUGAGAAGUGCUUUGCGAUCUAUGGAUAAAAAGUGCAAUAUAAUAAUAGUUAGGUAUUUUUAUUAGGUCACCUCUGACUUGAGUCCAUCAUUAUCCCCUUUGUGAGCUAUUUUGAGACCAUGUCCUUUAUGGAACUGUUGAAGUAUUAAAGCAUAACAAGGAAACCAAACUCCAUAGAAAGAAAACUUCAUAUCCAGAUGUGAAAAUGACUAGAUUGUUCAUUCAAAUAUUUUUAAGCCAAAGUCUGAGAAAAACACAAAAAUGAUAGAGUGGUAUUGCCCUUUGUAGAACCAAAUCCUAUGGAGAGAUUCCUUAGUAGCUUAUUUGUGUGACUAACUCUUACUAAGAGAUUCACAGUGCUGUACUUUGCAAGUAUAAGAGAUUAGGGUACAAGCAGAUCAACUUGAGUAUAUUAAAAUGGAGGCUAUGCUUCCAAUCCAUGUCCAAUGAUAAUUCCAAGUUCAAUUAAAAGGCUUGUUUUGCCAUUGUGAUGCAGU
Mauremys reevesii (Reeves's turtle) is the source of this 1685-nucleotide long non-coding RNA. RefSeq lists it as uncharacterized. NCBI's taxonomy places the organism in Eukaryota, Metazoa, Chordata, Testudines, Geoemydidae. The record is from RefSeq and is a predicted model, not a curated record. The transcript has 6 exons.